GACGUUGGGAAAGCGAGCGGCGGAUGGGUGAGUAACACGUGGGGAACCUGCCCCUAAGUCUGGGAUACCAUUUGGAAACAGGUGCUAAUACCGGAUAAUAAAGCAGAUCGCAUGAUCAGCUUUUGAAAGGCGGCGUAAGCUGUCGCUAAGGGAUGGCCCCGCGGUGCAUUAGCUAGUUGGUAAGGUAACGGCUUACCAAGGCGACGAUGCAUAGCCGAGUUGAGAGACUGAUCGGCCACAUUGGGACUGAGACACGGCCCAAACUCCUACGGGAGGCAGCAGUAGGGAAUCUUCCACAAUGGACGCAAGUCUGAUGGAGCAACGCCGCGUGAGUGAAGAAGGUUUUCGGAUCGUAAAGCUCUGUUGUUGGUGAAGAAGGAUAGAGGUAGUAACUGGCCUUUAUUUGACGGUAAUCAACCAGAAAGUCACGGCUAACUACGUGCCAGCAGCCGCGGUAAUACGUAGGUGGCAAGCGUUGUCCGGAUUUAUUGGGCGUAAAGCGAGCGCAGGCGGAAAAAUAAGUCUAAUGUGAAAGCCCUCGGCUUAACCGAGGAACUGCAUCGGAAACUGUUUUUCUUGAGUGCAGAAGAGGAGAGUGGAACUCCAUGUGUAGCGGUGGAAUGCGUAGAUAUAUGGAAGAACACCAGUGGCGAAGGCGGCUCUCUGGUCUGCAACUGACGCUGAGGCUCGAAAGCAUGGGUAGCGAACAGGAUUAGAUACCCUGGUAGUCCAUGCCGUAAACGAUGAGUGCUAAGUGUUGGGAGGUUUCCGCCUCUCAGUGCUGCAGCUAACGCAUUAAGCACUCCGCCUGGGGGAGUACGACCGC
RNAcentral lists this ribosomal RNA (826 nucleotides) under uncultured bacterium. Its description in RNAcentral is "bacterial SSU rRNA". It matches the Rfam family "Bacterial small subunit ribosomal RNA", at positions 79 to 889 of the family's 1533-position model. The record is from RNAcentral.